AGGCUGCAAUCCUCUCUGCUGACAAGGGAGCAAGUUUCUAGGAUUUGGUUAAAUAACCAGGAAAACGCUUCCUUAAAAUUUCCCCUCCCCGGCAGCGUCCCCGCUGUCCCCAUGGUGUGGCGAGGGGCAGCGCUGUGGGUGCCGAGCGCUGGGGCCCUGCGUGACAUUUCCCCGGGGGGCCGAGAGCUCGGUCCCGUUCCGUGGGCUGCGUUUGCAGUGGGGAAAUUUCCCCUCUAGAUGGCGGAAAGGGCAGCAGGAAAAACGCAGGGGGCCCACGCUGCGGAGCGUUCAAACGCGGAGGUGCGCGACUGCGGCGCUCGCCCCGCUCCGAGGGUCCCCGCGGCCACCGCUCGGGAUCCGAGGAGCCGCGGCCAGAUGGAAAAAGCAGAUGGAAAAAAGGGCCCAGCAGCCGGAGCCCCAAGGCACCCCCAGCUGUAGGGUUGCCAGCCCCAAAUCCAGGCUGCGGGAGAGGACAGCGAGGGGACCGCCGCGCGCUGGCUGCUGCCGCCUUACCCUGAGCCACCCGCCCGCAACGCCACAGAGAGCAGGGCUGGGGCCGGCGGCGCAGCAGGGAUUUUCCCCCCAGGGGCUGCGGUUAUGCGGUGAGGACCCGCACCUUUUUUUCCUGGCUGUGAGAGGUUA
RNAcentral lists this long non-coding RNA (642 nucleotides) under Cairina moschata (Muscovy duck). RNAcentral describes it as "domestica (muscovy Duck (domestic type)) lncRNA (ENSCMMG00000002821.1)". The record is from RNAcentral. Lineage: Eukaryota; Metazoa; Chordata; Aves; Anseriformes; Anatidae.